UGGGGAAUCUUGGACAAUGGGCGCAAGCCUGAUCCAGCCAUGCCGCGUGAGUGAAGAAGGUCUUCGGAUUGUAAAGCUCUUUUGCCAGGGACGAUAAUGACGGUACCUGGAGAAUAAGCCCCGGCAAACUUCGUGCCAGCAGCCGCGGUAAUACGAAGGGGGCUAGCGUUGUUCGGAAUUACUGGGCGUAAAGCGCACGUAGGCGGGUCGUUAAGUCAGGGGUGAAAUCCCGGAGCUCAACUCCGGAACUGCCUUUGAUACUGGCGAUCUAGAGAUCGGAAGAGGUGAGUGGAAUUCCCAGUGUAGAGGUGAAAUUCGUAGAUAUUGGGAAGAACACCAGUGGCGAAGGCGGCUCACUGGUCCGAUACUGACGCUGAGGUGCGAAAGCGUGGGGAGCAAACA
This 402-nucleotide ribosomal RNA is filed under the name bacterium. RNAcentral describes it as "partial 16S ribosomal RNA". It matches the Rfam family "Bacterial small subunit ribosomal RNA", at positions 355 to 774 of the family's 1533-position model. The record is from RNAcentral. RNAcentral also lists the same sequence under 1 other name.